AACAAGGGGGAGAGAAGCCCGAUUCGGCAAGGGCAUAUGAGCAGUCCAAAAUUAGCUUUUGGGAGAUUUAUUCGGAGGUCCCUACACUUGGAAAUCAAUAAAAAAUCAUCACACCACUUUCACCCUUGAAACCGUCCACCACCUUGCUUGAUUCAAGUAUGAUUUCAUGCAUGAAUCAAGCAACCAACAACCUCCCAUCUCCAAAAUUCACAGAAGGCCAUGGGGAAGAGAAAACUAAGGGAUUUUAAAGCUAUUUUUAGUAAACCUCCUAGUCAUCCA
Molecule: long non-coding RNA, 279 nt
Filed under: Gossypium barbadense (sea-island cotton)
Lineage: Eukaryota; Viridiplantae; Streptophyta; Magnoliopsida; Malvales; Malvaceae
Description: long non-coding RNA (GBAR_LNC014977)
Source: RNAcentral